ACCUGGCUGGCUCAGUGGUAGAGCAUGUGACUCUUGAUCUCAAGGUCUUGAGUUCAAUCCCCAGGUUGGGCC
This 72-nucleotide transfer RNA is filed under the name Canis lupus familiaris (dog). It matches the Rfam family "tRNA". From Rfam's summary of the family: Transfer RNA (tRNA) molecules are approximately 80 nucleotides in length. The record is from Rfam by way of RNAcentral. Lineage: Eukaryota; Metazoa; Chordata; Mammalia; Carnivora; Canidae. RNAcentral also lists the same sequence under 2 other names.